GACGAACGCUGGCGGCGUGCUUAACACAUGCAAGUCGAACGGAAAGGCCCGCCUUGCCUGGUGCUCUAGGGGCGCACGGGUGGGGAACGCGUGGGUAAUCCGCCCUGGACUUCGGGCUAAGCCUGGGAUACGGGGGCGAAUCCCGGUCAGGUGCCAGUUAGAGCGUGAGGGUUGGGAAGGUUUUUGGGUGUGGGUUGAGCGCGCGGCCGUUGAGCUUGUUGGUGGGGUAAUGGCCUACCAAGGCGGCGACGGGUAGCCGGCCUGAGAGGGUGGACGGCCACAUUGGGACUGAGAUACGGCCCAGACUGCUACGGGGGGCAGCAGUGGAGAAGAUUGAACAAGGGGCGCAAGCGUGAUGUAGCGAAGCCGCGUGGGGGAUGACGGCCUUCGGGUUGUAAACUCGUUUCGCUCGGGACGAAGCUUUUUGUGACGGUACCUAGAUAAGAAGCACCGGCUAACUACGUG
This 465-nucleotide ribosomal RNA is filed under the name uncultured bacterium. Its description in RNAcentral is "partial 16S ribosomal RNA". It matches the Rfam family "Bacterial small subunit ribosomal RNA", at positions 28 to 507 of the family's 1533-position model. The record is from RNAcentral.